RNAcentral lists this ribosomal RNA (439 nucleotides) under uncultured bacterium. Its description in RNAcentral is "partial 16S ribosomal RNA". It matches the Rfam family "Bacterial small subunit ribosomal RNA", at positions 339 to 795 of the family's 1533-position model. The record is from RNAcentral.
CUACGGGUGGCUGCAGUGAGGAAUAUUGCACAAUGGGGGGAACCCUGAUGCAGCAACGCCGCGUGGAGGAUGACGCAUUUCGGUGUGUAAACUCCUUUUAUAUGUCAAGAAAAUGACGGUAGCAUAUGAAUAAGCACCGGCUAACUCCGUGCCAGCAGCUGCGGUAAUACGGAGGGUGCAAGCGUUACUCGGAAUCACUGGGCGUAAAGGACGCGUAGGCGGGUUGGAAAGUCAGGUGUGAAAUCCUACAGCUUAACUGUAGAACUGCACUUGAAACUUCUAAUCUAGAGUAUGGGAGGGGGAGAUGGAAUUAGUGGUGUAGGGGUAAGAUCCGUAGAUAUCACUAGGAAUACCUAAAGCGAAGGCGAUCUCCUGGAACAUUACUGACGCUAAGGCGUGAAAGCGUGGGGAGCAAACAGGAUUAGAUACCCUUGUAGUC